This is a small nucleolar RNA of Echinops telfairi (small Madagascar hedgehog), 133 nucleotides long. The record is from Ensembl. NCBI's taxonomy places the organism in Eukaryota, Metazoa, Chordata, Mammalia, Afrosoricida, Tenrecidae.
GAUGCCCCUAGAGGCGUUGCAGCGUGGCCACCCUGCCACAGCUGUGUCAUCCAUCAGAGGGCAGAGAGAAGAGGAACCAUGGCUAACCUCAGGGGUCUGACGUGACCACCUGACUGACUGCUAGCCCUACAGU